UACAGAGGGUGCGAGCGUUAAUCGGAAUUACUGGGCGUAAAGGGCGCGUAGGCGGUGAGAAGGGUGUGAUGUGAAAGCCCUGGGCUUAACCUGGGAAGUGCAUCGCAAACUAUCUGACUGGAGUAUAUGAGAGGGUGGCGGAAUUUCCGGUGUAGCGGUGAAAUGCGUAGAGAUCGGAAGGAACGUCAAUGGCGAAGGCAGCCACCUGGCAUAAUACUGACGCUGAGGCGCGAAAGCGUGGGGAGCGAACAGG
RNAcentral lists this ribosomal RNA (253 nucleotides) under uncultured bacterium. RNAcentral's name for it is "partial 16S ribosomal RNA". It matches the Rfam family "Bacterial small subunit ribosomal RNA", at positions 524 to 776 of the family's 1533-position model. The record is from RNAcentral.